UACGUAGGGUGCAAGCGUUGUCCGGAAUUAUUGGGCGUAAAGAGCUCGUAGGCGGUGUGUCGCGUCUGCUGUGAAAACUCAGGGCUCAACUCUGAGCUUGCAGUGGGUACGGGCACACUUGAGUGCUGUAGGGGAGACUGGAAUUCCUGGUGUAGCGGUGAAAUGCGCAGAUAUCAGGAGGAACACCGGUGGCGAAGGCGGGUCUCUGGGCAGUUGACUGACGCUGAGGAGCGAAAGCAUGGGAGCGAACAGG
This 253-nucleotide ribosomal RNA is filed under the name uncultured bacterium. RNAcentral describes it as "partial 16S ribosomal RNA". It matches the Rfam family "Bacterial small subunit ribosomal RNA", at positions 524 to 776 of the family's 1533-position model. The record is from RNAcentral.